AACAGGAUUAGAUACCCUGGUAGUCCACACAGUAAACGAUGAAUACUCGCUGUUUGCGAUAUACAGUAAGCGGCCAAGCGAAAGCGUUAAGUAUUCCACCUGGGGAGUACGCCGGCAACGGUGAAACUCAAAGGAAUUGACGGGGGCCCGCACAAGCGGAGGAACAUGUGGUUUAAUUCGAUGAUACGCGAGGAACCUUACCCGGGCUUGAAUUGCAACUGAAUGAUGUGGAGACAUGUCAGCCGCAAGGCAGUUGUGAAGGUGCUGCAUGGUUGUCGUCAGCUCGUGCCGUGAGGUGUCGGCUUAAGUGCCAUAACGAGCGCAACCCUUAUCGAUAGUUACCAUCAGGUUAUGCUGGGGACUCUGUCGAGACUGCCGUCGUAAGAUGUGAGGAAGGUGGGGAUGACGUCAAAUCAGCACGGCCCUUACGUCCGGGGCUACACACGUGUUACAAUGGGGGGUACAGAAGGCAGCUACACGGCGACGUGAUGCUAAUCCCUAAAGCCUCUCUCAGUUCGGAUUGGAGUCUGCAACCCGACUCCAUGAAGCUGGAUUCGCUAGUAAUCGCGCAUCAGCCACGGCGCGGUGAAUACGUUCCCGGGCCUUGUACACACCGCCCGUCAAGCCAUGAAAGCCGGGGGUACCUGAAGUGCGUAACCGCGAGGAGCGCCCUAGGGUAAAACUGGUGAUUGGGGCUAAGUCGUAACAAGGUAACC
This 716-nucleotide ribosomal RNA is filed under the name uncultured bacterium. RNAcentral describes it as "bacterial SSU rRNA". It matches the Rfam family "Bacterial small subunit ribosomal RNA", at positions 771 to 1501 of the family's 1533-position model. The record is from RNAcentral.